This 450-nucleotide ribosomal RNA is filed under the name uncultured bacterium. RNAcentral describes it as "partial 16S ribosomal RNA". It matches the Rfam family "Bacterial small subunit ribosomal RNA", at positions 354 to 796 of the family's 1533-position model. The record is from RNAcentral.
GUGGGGAAUCUUCCGCAAUGGACGAAAGUCUGACGGAGCAACGCCGCGUGAGUGAUGAAGGUCUUCGGAUUGUAAAGCUCUGUUAAUCGGGACGAAAGAGCCUAGUGUGAAUAAUGCUAGGAAGUGACGGUACCGGAAUAGAAAGCCACGGCUAACUACGUGCCAGCAGCCGCGGUAAUACGUAGGUGGCAAGCGUUGUCCGGAAUUAUUGGGCGUAAAGCGCGCGCAGGCGGAUCUGCCAGUCUGUCUUAAAAGUUCGGGGCUUAACCCCGUGAUGAGAUGGAAACUACAGAUAUAGAGUAUCGGAGAGGAAAGUGGAAUUCCUAGUGUAGCGGUGAAAUGCGUAGAUAUUAGGAGGAACACCAGUGGCGAAGGCGACUUUCUGGACUGUAACUGACGCUGAGGCUCGAAAGCCAGGGGAGCGAACGGGAUUAGAAACCCCAGUAGUCC